CAUCUCCUCUCGCACUGCCAGCCACAUCCCUGAGACACCGUGGUGAAGGUGAAGGUCAGAGUCAACGGAUUUGGUCGUAUUGGGUGCCUGGUCAGCAGGGCUACUUUUAACUGGUAAAGUGGAUAUUGUCACCAUCAGUGACCCCUUCAUUGAUCUCAACUACAUGGUCUACAUGUUCCAAUAUGAUUCCACCCAUGGCACAUUCCAUGGCACCAUCAAGGCUGAGAACGGGAAGCUUGUCAUCAAUGGAAAUCCCAUCACCAUCUUCCAGGAGCGAGAUCCCUCCAAGAUCAAAUGGGGUGAUGCUGGUGCUGGGUACAUUGUGGAGUCCACCGGCAUCUUUACCACCAUGGAGAAGGCUGGGGCUCACUUACAGGGAGGAGCUAAAAGGGUCUUCAUCUCUGCCCCCUCUGCUGAUGCCCCCAUGUUGGUAAUGAGCAUGAACCAUGAGAAGUAUGACAACAGCCUCAAGAUCAUCAGCAAUACUUCCUGCUCUGCCAACUGCUUAGCACCCCUGGCCAACAUCAUCCAUGACAACUUUGAUAUUGUGGAAGGACUCAUGACCACAGUCCACACCAUCACUGCCACCCAGAAGACUGUGGAUGGUUCCUCUGGGAAACUGGCAUGACGGUGGUGGGACUCUCCAGAAUAUCAUCCCUUCUUCUACUGGCACUGCCAAGGCUGUAGGCAAGGUCAUCCCUGAGCUGAAUGGAAAACUCACCGGCAUGGCCUUCUGUGUCCCCACUGCCAACACGUCAGUCGUGGACCUGAACUACCAUCUGGAAAAACCUACCAAAUAUGAUGGCAUUAAGAAGGUGGUGAAGCAGGCGUCAGAGGGCCCUCUCUAAGGCAUCCUGGGCUACAACACCGAGCACCAGGUUGUCUUCUUCGACUUCAACAGCGACACCCACUCUUCCACCUUUGAUGUUGUGGCCGCCAUUGCCCUCAACAACCACUUUGUCAAGCUGAUUUCCUGGUAUGACAGUGAAUUUGGCUAUAGCAACAGGGUGGUGGACCUCAUGGCCCACAAGGCCUCCAAGGAGUAAGACCCCUGAACCACCAGCCCCAGUGACAGCACAAGAGGAAGAGCAAGGCCCUCACUGAUGGGGAGUCCCUGACACACUCAGUCCCCAGUCACAGUGAGAAUCUCCCCUCCUCACAGUUUCCAUACAGACCCCCUGAAGAGGAAGGGGCCUAGGAAGUCCCACCUUGUCUUGUACCAUCAAUAAAGUCCCCUGUGCUCAGCCAAAAAAAUAAAUAAAUAAAAUUUUUUUCUAU
This is an RNA transcript of Mandrillus leucophaeus (drill), 1278 nucleotides long. It is a transcript of the gene named glyceraldehyde-3-phosphate dehydrogenase pseudogene, with no coding region annotated. The record is from RefSeq and is a predicted model, not a curated record. NCBI's taxonomy places the organism in Eukaryota, Metazoa, Chordata, Mammalia, Primates, Cercopithecidae. The transcript has a single exon.